This 445-nucleotide ribosomal RNA is filed under the name uncultured bacterium. Its description in RNAcentral is "bacterial SSU rRNA". It matches the Rfam family "Bacterial small subunit ribosomal RNA", at positions 63 to 507 of the family's 1533-position model. The record is from RNAcentral.
CAAAACGAAGGAGUGAAUGCGGAAUUAACUUCCUCAUAAAGAAAGAAGGAGCAAGUGUGAGAGUACACGAGCGGCGGACGGCUGAGUAACGCGUAGGAACGUACCCCAAAGUGAGGGAUAAGCACCAGAAAUGGUGUCUAAUACCGCAUGUGGUCUUCGGAUUAAAGCUUCGGCGCUUUGGGAGCGGCCUGCGUAUGAUUAGUUUGUUGGUGAGGUAAUGGCUCACCAAGGCUUCGAUCAUUAGCUGGUCUGAGAGGAUGAUCAGCCAGACUGGGACUGAGAACGGCCCAGACUCCUACGGGAGGCAGCAGUAGGGAAUUUCCACAAUGGGCGAAAGCCUGAUGGAGCAACGCCGCGUGCAGGAUGAAGGCCUUCGGGUUGUAAACUGCUUUUAUAUGUGACGAUUAUGACGGUAGCAUAUGAAUAAGGAUCGGCUAACUCCGUG